UACGUAGGCAGCGAGCGUUGUUCGGAGUUACUGGGCGUAAAGGGUGCGCAGGCGGUGGAGCAAGUCUGUUGUGAAAUCUCCCGGCUUAACCGGGAGGGUGCGGCGGAAACUGUUCUGCUGGAGUGAGGGAGAGGCAAGCGGAAUUCCUGGUGUAGCGGUGAAAUGCGUAGAUAUCGAGAGGAACACCUGCGGCGAAGGCGGGUUGCUGGGCUGACACUGACGCUGAUGCGCGAAAGCCAGGGGAGCGAACGGG
RNAcentral lists this ribosomal RNA (253 nucleotides) under uncultured bacterium. RNAcentral's name for it is "partial 16S ribosomal RNA". It matches the Rfam family "Bacterial small subunit ribosomal RNA", at positions 524 to 776 of the family's 1533-position model. The record is from RNAcentral.